UACAGAGGGUGCGAGCGUUGUCCGGAAUCACUGGGCGUAAAGGGCGCGUAGGCGGUCCGGUAAGCGUGCGGUGAAAGCCCGGGGCUCAACCCCGGGUCGGCCGUGCGAACUGCGGGACUGGAGCUUGUCAGAGGCAGGCGGAAUUCCGGGUGUAGCGGUGGAAUGCGUAGAGAUCCGGAAGAACACCGGUGGCGAAGGCGGCCUGCUGGGACAAUGCUGACGCUGAGGCGCGACAGCGUGGGGAGCAAACAGG
RNAcentral lists this ribosomal RNA (253 nucleotides) under uncultured bacterium. RNAcentral describes it as "partial 16S ribosomal RNA". It matches the Rfam family "Bacterial small subunit ribosomal RNA", at positions 524 to 776 of the family's 1533-position model. The record is from RNAcentral.